This 391-nucleotide long non-coding RNA is filed under the name Homo sapiens (human). Its description in RNAcentral is "non-protein coding lnc-SEC16B-2:13". The record is from RNAcentral. Lineage: Eukaryota; Metazoa; Chordata; Mammalia; Primates; Hominidae.
GAUAGAGUUAUUGGCACAAGAAACUUUAAUUGUAUGGCUGAAGAAUGCGUCACUGACCAGAAGGACCUGUGGCAGAUUCCAGAAAAGGUCUCCCUAUAAGAAGCUGCUGUCCUCCCUAUAACUUAUGGCACUGCGAUUUUUGCUCUUGAGCAUUGGGCCCGUACCCAGCCUGGGUAAUAUAGCUGCUGCUGGAAGUGACGAGAAGUGCAAGCUGGCGAUGCAGAGGGGUGCGCAGUCCAGCGUGAACUACAGUCAGGGCAGCCUGAAGGAUGCAGUAAGGAAGCUGGUGGGCGAGGGCGGGGUGAAUGUGGCCAUCGACAUGGUGGGAGGAGACAUCUGCCUGGAGGCUCUCCGCAGGUGCAUGGGGUGGUCUGUCUAGAGUGGGCUGGAG